Molecule: long non-coding RNA, 1582 nt
Organism: Calidris pygmaea (Spoon-billed sandpiper)
Lineage: Eukaryota; Metazoa; Chordata; Aves; Charadriiformes; Scolopacidae
Source: Ensembl
AUGAUUUUCAGAGCUGGUGGGAGAGCACAGGAGGACAGAAGGGCUCAUUGGUCUUCUCUGAACAAGCUCUUGCAUAAAGAGCAUCUCGACUCUACUGGGAAGGACUUCAUCUCAGUCCCAGGUGAAGCCUGGGGUAGAGUUGUGCUCAGCCCCCUCUGCAUGUACAACCGCAUGUUGCGAAUGCCAUUCUGCAAACUCUUCUUCAUUCCCCGCAGGUUUUGGAUUACCUAUUUGCACGUGGACAGCUUUGUGAGAAGGGCUUUGAUCCACUUCUUGUUGAAGCUGCUUUGGAAAUGCACCAGUGUUCAGAGAAGAAGAUCACAGAACUUCUCCAACUAAUGAGUCAAUUUAAAGAAAUGGGCUUUGAACUAAAAGACAUUAAGGAGGUCUUAUUAUUACAUAACAAUGACCAACACAACGCUUUGGAAGAUCUAAUGGCUCGUGCGGGAGCCAGCUGAAAACACAUUUCUGGAUUCUCAGCAUGCAACGGAGCAGCACUAGCCCUGCCAUCUUCGCAUCCAGUGUGACUUGCUCUCGGCAGGAAGGAGUCUGACUUUUUGCAUACAAGGGAGAAUGACUGAGCAAGCCCACCCAUGUGCAUCACUCUAACAUUUCUCUUUCUGAUGAGACCCAACUUUAUUUCUUAAAUUAAAUUUUUAAAGUGUCCUUUCCUAAGUUUCCUUUUUCCAGCUUGGCCACGGAGAGUUUAGACUGCUCACUGGAAUUCUACUGGAAUUUUACAUAGGUAGAGGCAGGAGUGGUUUCUCCCCCUCGCUGUUGCAUUGGAGUUAGACAGAAGAAUACUAAGUUGGUUCUGAAACUAGGAUGCUUUGGUUCUUUGAAGCUGCUUUCAUGGUGUCUGCUUGUACUGAAUUACUUGAUUAUGUCAUAGUCUGGAUUAACUGGUUAAAUUUGACCUUUAGUGCAAUGGAGUUUUAUUUUUUUGGUUGAAAGUUAGUCUGUAACUUAGUAAAACGCUGCUUCAGAAAUGGUUGCUAUGCAUAAAGAGAGAAGCUGCUCCUCUUGUGUGGGAAAUGGUUUUGGUUUUUUGGGUUUUUUUUGGUUUUUUUUUUAAUCUAUGCAUCUAACACUUCUGCCAGACAUGAGCGUUCAAUGCUGAGUAGUGUAUAAGUUCUUCUGAAACAGGUAUGUUGUGAACUCUACCUGGACCUGCAACUCUUGUUGGUUCUUGAACCUGAAAGCAGAGAGCUGGGGCUCAGUAUUCUUAAUCCCUCAGGUUUGUAGGAUAUUUAAGACAAUGCCCUGCUAGGAAAUCAGUUAUAAUUUAAAACAAAAAGAUAUUUGGUGUGAUGCAGGAGGCUUCUUUCAAACACUUUCUUUAAAACAAAUAUACUCACUGUAUUAGUUCCAUUUUUCACACUGCUAUAGAAUUACAUAAUAGUAUCUAGUACUAGAAAUCAGGUUUUGGGUUGUUUUUGAUAGUUCAAAGUAUUACUUUGCACAUUGUUCAAGUUCUAAAUACAUAAAAUAUCAGCAGUCUUGAGGAAUCUUUUAAAGUAAUUUGCUAAAUAUUUUGAUCCUACAGAAGAGCAACUAAUAAAACAUUCAAAUAUAACUCCCA